Non-coding RNA from Camelus dromedarius (Arabian camel), 73 nucleotides. NCBI's taxonomy places the organism in Eukaryota, Metazoa, Chordata, Mammalia, Artiodactyla, Camelidae. The record is from the annotation of a RefSeq genome assembly.
GGAGGCUGUAGCUUAGUGGUAGAGUGUGUGCUUAGAAUGCAUAAGGUCCUGGGUUCAAACCCCAGUACCUCCA